Molecule: signal recognition particle RNA, 98 nt
Filed under: Spirochaetales bacterium
Lineage: Bacteria; Pseudomonadati; Spirochaetota; Spirochaetia; Spirochaetales
Also listed under: 1 other name
Description: signal recognition particle sRNA small type
Rfam family: Bacterial small signal recognition particle RNA
About the family: The signal recognition particle (SRP) is a universally conserved ribonucleoprotein involved in the co-translational targeting of proteins to membranes. Archaeal SRP consists of a 7S RNA and homologues of the eukaryotic SRP19 and SRP54 proteins.
Source: RNAcentral
AGACAGAUUCUGUGCAAUCGGCGCCACCCAAAUCCGUCAGGGUCGGAAGACAGCAGCGGUAAGUGGUCAGUCGAUGUGACGCAGGUGAUUUGUCUCCG